GUGUUCGGCAUGAGGGUGCCUGCAGAGGAGGUGAAUCCCUGCAUUUUCUAUUCUUUUUUUCUUCCAACUGGUGUGGAUCCCAGACAAUUUCAGGGUCCUGCAGGGUUUGAAACCCUCUGUGAACACUGACCCGAGACCCCGUUUUGCCCAUGGGAAGUUGAUGCCUGCGCAGCCCCCGGCCAGGGGCACUGUCUCCUCGGACCCGGGAUGCUGGACGGAGGGGACAAUGUGCAGGGGCAGCUGCUGCUGGGCUGUGGACCUCCCGGAACGGGAGGAGCCCGGGAGGGGCUGGCUCAGCAGUGAGGGCUCCGAUGCGCCUCGAUUCAUAUGCUAAGGAGCCCUGGAUUCGGCUUUCAUUGCCGGAGUGGGAGGUGACCCCAGGGGCCCCAGCUGGGGGCGUGGCUGGGAAAUGCACAGAAAGAGACUUCGACAGGGGUAGCUAUGGUUUGUGCUGUGCUGUGCACACGUCUGGCUGUUAGAAAUCUACGUCCAUAAACAGUUCCUUCCAGGUCUCCGUGGAAAACUGAAGAUUCAUGUGUGUUUUCAGAAAAGAGGUUCCAAGGAAAAGGGCAGCCAUUUAGUUUUUACAAGUCUGGGCAGUGAGCGAUUUGGAGCUUCCAUCCUUGGCUGACAUCAUGAACGCCAAUGUUGCUGGCCUCGAUCGCAAGAAGGGUGGGACUUCGUGCUUAGCCUUCCUUGGGAAGGGCCUGUCCCUGGGUCACGUCCCCACUGACCACAGGAGGAAGAGAAGGGAUGAGGAUCCUGGGGGGCCUGGCUCUGCAUCCACCCGUCUCUGUGUGGAUGCCUCCUGUGUCCAGGGUGAUAACUGGUCACCUGAAUGAGUCCUUGGGGUCAUUCCUGGCUUCUCCUGUCACUUGAUCACCCCUCUGGCUGCAGGGAGUCCAGGACGGAGAAGGAGAGAGACCUCAUUCUCCCUAGGGAAUGCAGGCUGAGACCACCCAUGCUUCUGGAGCAGGGUUUGGUGUGGAGGAGGUCCCUCCAGGGAGGGACAGUGAGCUGACGCUGUGACAUUGCUCAGGAUGGAGGCCCAGGGCAGACUGCGUCACCAGCUGCCGCAGAAGCCAGGUUUCCAGAGGGGCUGUGUCACCAGCCCUGGGGACGCCAUGUUGAUGUGCCUUUCGACACAUUCCUGUGGAGUGUCUGAGGAAAAACAGGGCACACGCAUUCCUGAUAAGAUUGCACCAAAAGGCCAGGGCAGGGGACCAGGCUCCCAGCCUCUCUCUGUCUCAGUUGGGGGCCGAGGGGCAGGGACAGCCAGGAGAAGGCCCAGCCAGAUACUGCUGGCUUCCCCCAGGACUCCGCCCCACUGGCCUCUCGGUUAAACCUCUUCACCUGAGCGUCUCUUAUGGCGUGGUUGAGUCACACAUGAGAGGUUUUUGUCUGCCAGGAGGGGCUCUUCUUAUGGGAGAACAGGGGCACAAGGUGUGUGGUGUGGCUCUCAGGGAUGUGUCUGGACUCUAUCACGUCUGAGUGUCCCCAGGGCCAGAGUGCUGGGGGCAGGAGCCUGUGGUUUAUCAAGCACCUUCUGCCAGCUGAGGCCGUGACGUUUUGUCCCUCCCUGGAGAAGGCUUCAAGGUCAGCCUCUUCUUCCUUUGGUCCCGAGCUUGCCGUGUCUCCUACUCAUUCCCCAUGUCCACAUGAAAGGGCAGUGUUCACAGGUGGGUUGGUCUGAGAUUGAAACAGCAAGGCCUGGGAUCUUCUGUUUGGGCAGCCCCCUCGAGUCCGCCUCAGAGGAGCCCAGACCUCCUGGAUGGCUUUCGGCAAGCCUCCCAGUGGGCACAGGCCACCAGACGCUGCGUGGACUCAGCUUCCACACUGCAGUGGGUACGGGCCUGGUCCUUGCACUACCAGGGACAAGGAGGAACGCUAUGCCUGGUGGGGAUGAGCACCCCAUCUCAUGACGAAGCAGUUCUCCAGGGUCUGCCCCACUUUUCUGUAAACCUGGGGGUCCAGCUCAGUGCAUUGGCUGGAAGGAGAGGAGAUGCCUCCUGUCCCAGCUCAAGGUGCUCUGCCGACCCCACUGCCCGCCCCAACCCCGGUGCUCCGGGGGACCCCAAUGCCAUAGAUGCACUUCAUGGGGAGCAACUGGGGCUGUUCCCGAGGACCAAGACGGGCAGAGACCCUAAAGAUGUCCAUGGAUUGACCCCUGCUCUCUGUGGCCCCUGCCUGGCUGGCCUCCCCUCCUCACACUCUCCACAGUUCUCAUGCAACGCAGCGCCUCUAAAAAUGCUGUCCUGAAAAUGUGCGCUUUGGGGAAGAGCAGCUUCCUCCUCUCCGACCAAGUUUGGGUCCCUUCUACAGCUUCAGUGGCUGUAGGCAGUCGAUGAGGGCCCUGGAUGGGGUGGGCCGGGGGCAGGGAGGGGCGCUGUGGGCUCCGGUUGCUCCGGGCUCCGGGCAGACACACUAACCUGGUGUAUUUGGAAAUGCACCUGGGCGUGUGCUGACCUCUGUGUGGAGGAACACGGGUCUGUUCAUCCCCCACUGGCUGCACCCUCGGGAGGCUGCAGCGUGCACUAUUCGGCCCCUACACUGCAGUUAUUCUUGUAUCUGCCUCGUCACUGGCCUUGCUGCCCAUGACUCCCUCGGGUCAGCCCCAUGUCUCUGUCAAACUUUCAUCCUCCACAAUUCUGCACAGCCUGUAAAUGCUUAAAAAAUAUCGCGGAACAGGUGAGUCACGUUACAGAAAAGAAGCAACCUGGAAAAGCACAGACAUUCCUUCCCCUUCUGCACCUGUUAGAGUAAGGGAGGGGCAUGAGGGGGUGGGACCUGCACAAGGUGCAGUUGAUGGAAAUGCAGUCUUCAGGAAAAGCCCUGGCUCUGAAAUGGCAAAGGCCGCGUGCCUGGGAAAAAGACAAACGUGUCUUAUCCAGAGACAGCCACCCUGCCCCAAAGGCUGUCACGCUGCCGUUCAGUUAUCUAUUCUGCAGCGAUAGAACUGGCUUGACCUAAAAAUUCAAGGACGGGAAAAUGUCAUCUAAUGCUGCUUAGUGCAGUCGGGCAGUCAGCGGAUGAGGGCAGAAGGUCACUGGUCUUUGACAGAACAUGCGGACAGCAAAAUAACAAAACAGGGUUCAGGCUGCACCGUCAGCAGCAGAGACAAAUAAUUCUUCCAAAAUAAACAAGCGAGCUCCCAGCAGAGGCCUGUGAAGUCUCCCGUUCUGCCCAAACCACACACAUGUGGCUGCAGAGGAGCCUGCAGAGGCCCACCGGGCAUUCAAGUGGUCGAGUGUGAGACCCAGGCCACUGGCUGUCCUCCCUGUCAGAACAAAAGCUUCAUGGAAAGGGCCAGGAGGAUACAGCGAGGGGAACCAAAUGCCACUGGCAUUUCCUGGAUAUUUGUGCCAUAGUCUAAGCACUUAGAGGAAGCACCGAGAGUUUGCUGCCCUGGAAGCUGACGUGCUCCCCAAACACAAGACGCAGGACUGGAGGCCUCGCCCCACAGUUCGAGAGGCCGUUUUGGGACACAUCAAGGAAGGAAGGCUUAAGCGACACAGGACCUGGCUGACUUACGCACCCGCUGUCUAAAGACGGGGUGCUGGCUGGUGAACUCGAGCAACUCACGGCAGACCUGGAGUGACAGUCAUGGGCCUGUACCUGUGUGGAGUCCUCCAUGGCUGGGCUCACAGAGACCGAGCUGGACUGCAUUGUGCAUUGGCUGGAAGGAGAGGAGCCACUGAGAGUCCCAGCUUAUGGCACUCUGCCCACCCCAACCCUGGCACUCCAGGGGGGCCCAUGCCACAGACACACUUCAGGGGGACAAUUGGGGCUGUUCCCAAUGACCAGGAGGGACAAAUGCCCUAAAGAUGUCCAUGGUUUGACCCCUGCUGUCUGUGGGCCCUGCCUGGCUGGCCUCCCCUUCUCACACUCUCCACAGUCCUCAUGCAACGCAGUAUGUCUAAAAACGCUGUCCUGAAAACGUGCACUCUGGGGAAGAACAGCUUCCUCCUCUCUGAGUGGAGCGGGCUGGCCCCAUGAGGCGUGAUUUUCAUUGUAAAAUGUGCUUCACGUAACACUGGGGCCCUUGUUGCCAUUUUUAAUUGUGCAGUUUGGAGGCAUUAAGUGUGUUCAUUGUCACCACCUUCCACCCACAGAGCUUCUUCGUCUUCCCGAACGGAAACUCUGUCCUCGGUAAACACUCCCUCCCCUCCCACAGCCCCUGGCACGCGCCUUCUCCUUCUUGUCUCCGUGAACCUGACAACUCUUCGGACCCCACCUAAGUGGAGUUGGGCAGGAUUUGUCCUCUGUGAUCGGCUCGUGUCACUCAGCGGCCCUGAAGGCUCAUCCGUGCCGCAGCCUGUCCCAGAAUCUCCCUCCCUCUAACACUGAUUAAUAUCCUGCUCCACAAAAAAAAAAACAGGAUGAUAGUUUGAUACCCGAAAUCCACUUGAAAAUUGGUAAGAAAA
RNAcentral lists this long non-coding RNA (4424 nucleotides) under Pongo abelii (Sumatran orangutan). RNAcentral's name for it is "lincRNA". Lineage: Eukaryota; Metazoa; Chordata; Mammalia; Primates; Hominidae. The record is from RNAcentral.